This is a non-coding RNA of Peromyscus leucopus (white-footed mouse), 504 nucleotides long. NCBI's taxonomy places the organism in Eukaryota, Metazoa, Chordata, Mammalia, Rodentia, Cricetidae. The record is from the annotation of a RefSeq genome assembly.
GAGAGGACAGGGUCUAGAAAACCUUUCUGGAGCCCAGCCCUGUAAAAUAGAGUAUACUGCAAAAAGCAAGAAUCAUUUCCAUCUACCAGCAUGUUUUCUGUCAUCUGCUCUACUAACGUGAUCCUCUUAAUGUUCAAGAAGAGCGCUGGAGAUUCCAUAGCUCAGACAGAAGGUCCAGUCACUCUCACAGUGGGGGCACCUCUGCUCCUGAACUGCACCUAUCAGACCUUUUAUUUAGAGCCUCUGCUUUUAUGGUACGUACAAUAUCUCAACGAGGCCCCUCGGCUACUCCUGAAGAGCUCCACAGACAACAGGAGGACAGAGCACCAAGGGUUCCAGGCCACUCUCCAGAAGAGCAGCAGCUCCUUCCACCUGCAGAAGUCCUCAGUGCAGCUGGCGGACUCUGCCCUGUACUACUGUUGUGUGAGGGACACAGUGAAAGAGAUUGCAGAGAAAGCUGCACACAAACCCAGAGUGCAGGAGGCUGUGGGGAGUGGCCUGUGA